Molecule: non-coding RNA, 284 nt
Organism: Paramuricea clavata
Lineage: Eukaryota; Metazoa; Cnidaria; Anthozoa; Malacalcyonacea; Plexauridae
Source: the annotation of a GenBank genome assembly
GGGAUGAGAAACUAAUAUACAGCAAAUAGUGGCCUAAAGACAACGUGGUAUAUUAGCAAUCGUAUGAAUUUAAUACAAUCGUAUGAAUUUAAUGGGUUUUAUGUUUGGGAAGACUUUUCUGCUGAAGCCAGUUUGAAGUUGCACUUGUUGCGGCUUGAAAUGGGGUAGGGAUAAAACGCUGAAACUGAAUCGCGGAAACGGAAACUGAAAGCGGAAACUGAAAUGGGGGUAAAACGCUGAAAUGGGGGUAAAACGCUGAAAUGGGGGUAAAACGCUGAAAUGGG